GAUGAACGUUGGCGGCGUGCCUAACACAUGCAAGUCGAACGCUAGUAGCAAUAUUAGAGUGGCGCACGGGUGAGUAACACGUAGCUUAUCUACCUCCCAGCGCGGGAUAACGGUUCGAAAGAACUGCUAAUACCGCAUAAGCUCACGAGCUAUAGAGGCUGGUGAGAAAAGGCUUAGGUCACUGGGGAGCGGGGCGUGCGGCCC
RNAcentral lists this ribosomal RNA (204 nucleotides) under uncultured bacterium. RNAcentral describes it as "partial 16S ribosomal RNA". It matches the Rfam family "Bacterial small subunit ribosomal RNA", at positions 28 to 239 of the family's 1533-position model. The record is from RNAcentral.